Molecule: ribosomal RNA, 440 nt
Filed under: uncultured bacterium
Lineage: Bacteria
Description: partial 16S ribosomal RNA
Rfam family: Bacterial small subunit ribosomal RNA
Source: RNAcentral
CCUACGGGGGGCAGCAGUAGGGAAUAUUGCUCAAUGGGCGCAACUCUGAAGCAGCAACGCCGCGUGGAGGAUGAAGGUUUUCGGAUUGUAAACUUCUUUUGUUAGAGAAGAUAAUGACGGUAUCUCACUAUUAAGCACCGGCUAACUCCGUGCCAGCAGCCGCGGUAAUACGGAGGGUGCAAGCGUUACUCGGAAUCACUGGGCGUAAAGAGCGCGUAGGCGGGAUAGCAAGUCAGAUGUGAAAUCCUAGGGCUUAACCAUAGAACUGCAUUUGAAACUGUUAGUCUAGAGUAUGGGAGAGGUAGGUGGAAUUCUUGGUGUAGGGGUAAAAUGCGUAGAGAUAAAGAAGAAUACUCAUGGCGAAGGCGACCUGCUAGAACAUAACUGACGGUGAUGCGCGAAAGCGUGGGGAGCAAACAGGAUUAGAUACCCGUGUAGUC